RNAcentral lists this ribosomal RNA (377 nucleotides) under uncultured eukaryote. Its description in RNAcentral is "partial 18S ribosomal RNA". It matches the Rfam family "Eukaryotic small subunit ribosomal RNA", at positions 592 to 976 of the family's 1831-position model. The record is from RNAcentral.
CAAUAGCGUAUAUUAAAGUUGUUGCAGUUAAAAAGCUCGUAGUUGGAUUUCGGGGCAGCCUGGCUGGUCCGCCGCAAGGCGAGUACUGGUCAGCCGCCCUUCCUCUCGAAAGCCCCGACUGCUCUUUAUUGCAGUGGUCGGGUAGUUCGGGACGUUUACUUUGAAAAAAUUAGAGUGUUCAAGGCAGGCCUACGCCUGAAUACAUUAGCAUGGAAUAAUGGAAGAGGACCUCGGUCCUAUUUUGUUGGUUUCCAGGACCGAAGUAAUGAUUAAGAGGGACAGUUGGGGGCAUUCGUAUUUAAUUGUCAGAGGUGAAAUUCUCGGAUUUAUGAAAGACGAACAACUGCGAAAGCAUUUGCCAAGGAUGUUUUCAUGAA